Long non-coding RNA from Dromiciops gliroides (monito del monte), 475 nucleotides. RefSeq lists it as uncharacterized. The transcript has 2 exons. Lineage: Eukaryota; Metazoa; Chordata; Mammalia; Microbiotheria; Microbiotheriidae. The record is from RefSeq and is a predicted model, not a curated record.
AAGCAAGUCACUUAACCCCAAUUGCCUCACUUAAAAAAAAAAUUUUUUUUGUAAGAGGUUUUAAUAGGGACAUCUGAGGAGUCCCUACAAGGUACCAGUUAGAGAUUACUCUUUCAUUGGAAAAGAGUUGAGAAACAGUUGUAUUUGCUAUUAAAAUUUGUUUUGUAAGAGGUUUUAAUAGGGACAUCUGAGGAGUCACUACAAGGUGCCCCCGGGAGAAGACAUCUUCUAGACUGCCCCACAAAAAGGACUUCCAGAAACCAGAUAACUACACGGGACAUGUGAGAUCCAAGAUGAAAUUGCUAAUUGGAUGGACACUGGGAACACAUCACUGAAAUUACAAAGAGUCUUAGCCAUGUUUAUUGUUAUAAUCUUGGUAGUUAUUGACAUCAGUUCCUUGUGUUAUAUCUGGGCGUUGUUGCCAAAAAAUGAUGAAGAUAGAAUUUUUCAAGGAAUAAAUCCAGUCUUGAGAGGA